AACUUGGAGCUUUUCAGCUCCACAGCUCUUAAACAUAAACCUCUUU
Non-coding RNA from Phoenicopterus ruber ruber, 46 nucleotides. Lineage: Eukaryota; Metazoa; Chordata; Aves; Phoenicopteriformes; Phoenicopteridae. The record is from Rfam.